Molecule: unclassified non-coding RNA, 253 nt
Filed under: uncultured Oligoflexaceae bacterium
Lineage: Bacteria; Pseudomonadati; Bdellovibrionota; Oligoflexia; Oligoflexales; Oligoflexaceae
Description: contains 16S-23S intergenic spacer region
Rfam family: Bacterial small subunit ribosomal RNA
Source: RNAcentral
UACGAAGGGUGCAAGCGUUGUUCGGAAUUACUGGGCGUAAAGCGCGCGUAGGCGGGUUCGUAAGUCGAUUGUGAAAGCCCUGGGCUUAACCUGGGAAUGGCAGUCGAAACUACGGAUCUUGAAUGUCUGAGAGGAUGGCGGAAUUCCCGGUGUAGUAGUGAAAUACGUAGAUAUCGGGAAGAACACCUGAGGCGAAGGCGGCUAUCUGGCGGUACAUUGACGCUGAGGCGCGAAAGCGUGGGGAGCAAACAGG